UACGAAGGGGGCUAGCGUUGCUCGGAAUCACUGGGCGUAAAGCGCACGUAGGCGGCUUGCUAAGUCAGGGGUGAAAUCCUGGAGCUCAACUCCAGAACUGCCUUUGAUACUGGCGAUCUCGAGUCCGGGAGAGGUGAGUGGAACUGCGAGUGUAGAGGUGAAAUUCGUAGAUAUUCGCAAGAACACCAGUGGCGAAGGCGGCCUUCUGGGACGCAACUGACGCUGAAGCGCGAAAGCAUGGGGAGCGAACGGG
This 253-nucleotide ribosomal RNA is filed under the name uncultured bacterium. RNAcentral's name for it is "partial 16S ribosomal RNA". It matches the Rfam family "Bacterial small subunit ribosomal RNA", at positions 524 to 776 of the family's 1533-position model. The record is from RNAcentral.